This 408-nucleotide ribosomal RNA is filed under the name Triticum aestivum (bread wheat). RNAcentral's name for it is "partial small subunit ribosomal RNA". Lineage: Eukaryota; Viridiplantae; Streptophyta; Magnoliopsida; Poales; Poaceae. The record is from RNAcentral.
UUGUGGCCAGUUGAUGCUCAAAGAGUCCUGGUGAUUCCUCUACCGAUGCACAAUAUGACGGAUUUCAUUGCUUGGACGUACACUAAAAAUGGUUUAUUCACUAUACGAUCAGCUUAUUUAGAAGAAUGGUGUAAACAACAUGGGACGAAGUCGGAAUAUAUAAAUGGCAUGGGUAGAAGCAAGGCUAACCCUAUUAGGGGCAAGAUAUGGAAGUUAGCUUGUCCGGCAAAGGUUAAAAAAAUCAUCUGGCGUACACUUCAGGGGACUCUGCCAUGUCGUGUGACGUUGGCGAAUAGACACAUAAAAACUUCGCCCAUUUGCCCAGCAUGUCCGAAUGGGGCAGAGGAUACUAAACACGUGUUGUUUCUAUGCCAAAAGGCAAAAGAAGUGUGGGAAAAUUUGGCAUGA